This 4354-nucleotide unclassified non-coding RNA is filed under the name Stegodyphus dumicola. RNAcentral's name for it is "uncharacterized LOC118203941, transcript variant X1". Lineage: Eukaryota; Metazoa; Arthropoda; Arachnida; Araneae; Eresidae. The record is from RNAcentral.
AGAAAGCUGUAAAGGCAGCGAAACCUGACUCCAAAAGACUUCAUUGCUCCUGAAGAAGAGAGUCCUAUGUGUGAGCGCUUUAGAUAUAGGUCAUCCAAAAAAUUUAUGAAAUAUAGAGAAUAUACGUCAAAAAGAAAUUGGAACUUUAACAUUAUUGUGUUAGAAUUCAGAUAUAUAAAAAGAAAAUUAAAUGCUAAUUUUAAUUUAACUCAAAAAGAAUGAGGUGAAAUUAUAUGACAGCCUAAAAAAAAACUUCAGAUAAGUGGCCGCGCGCCAAUGCCAAUGAUUUCAAAUUACGGAGUACCUGCCUCGCAGAUCCAGACGCGCAUUUUUAUGCUUUAUACGAAAAAAGUGUCGGUUCGCCCAAUAAGAAGAAAUUAUUAGGAGGGUGAUAGAAUUACAAACAAUUAAUGUAAUUUAAAAUCGAAAAGAUCAGGUUGCAUUUCAAUAGCAAUACUGAUUGAAUGAAUGAAAAGAGUUCUGGAGUACAAGAAAUUUUAUUCUGUAAAAUAAACUGACUCCGCAUCCGGAAACAGGAAAAGAAAAAUGAAUAUAAUUUUCGGUCGUUGUCGAAGCCGUACGGAACGCUAUUUAAUCACUGUGUUAAUUAAGAAAUAAAGAAUUUGAGUUCACUAUACAGAUAUUAAAAAAUUUAUAUUUAAGUAGAGACAAAAAUUAAUUAGUUAACUACUGCUGUCAUCAUAAAUGUAGCAUAUGGAUUCGAUGCUGAGCUUAUGUGACGUUAUUUGUUAGUGCUCCUCUUCUGUGUGGAUCGCCAUUUUCACGCGACCCUCGUGCUCUUCUUUUAUCUCUAUACAUAUUUUGAUGUGCGCUAAUUAUUGAGGAUUUUAUUUUGAACUGUGAUGAACUUCUAAGUGUUUCCGUUGGAUUAUGUUUGUGAAAUUAAGAUGGCGGGAAAUGAUUUUCCCCCCAUUAACUUUCGAGGAUGCGAAAGCUGUUGCUCGUCGCCUCGUGUAUUCUUUGGUGUCGGGUUUGCCGGAUGAACUUGUUAAAUACGCUCAUGAAAAACUGAAUAGCGAAUGUAACGACUUAUUAUUGAAAGAACCGACUGACCUCAAGGAUUACGUAAAAAUUCGCCACGCUCUCUUUACACAGAAAACAAUGUCGCCUGGCAUAGAACAAUACCAGAAAAUUAGGACUAUUUGUGAAGAGCUAACAAUUUUAUUUCAAGAUAAGUGCAAAGCAUUUUGUGAAUUACAUCAUAAUAUUGUUAAACUUAAUUAUGGUGGACUGGUUCUUAAUUUGCAUGAUGAAUAUAAUGUUAAUGAAAAUUCUAGUGCUGUUUGCAAUGUUGAUGUUAUUGAUACCCCUAAUCAGGUGAAGACUAAUAGUGACUGUGUUAUCAUUAUGGAGGAUAUUCAUACCCGUAAUGUUAAUAUUUCUGAUAAUAAUUCUCUUAUGACUUCUAAGCUUAAACGGCCGUCAAAAAAUCGAGUAAAAAAAACGGCCAGACCAUCUAAAUUGAUAAAGAAUAAUGUUGAAAUUCCCCUCAGUAAUAAAUUUCAUGAAUUACCCAAAGAUGUUUCGGACAGCAAUGAAAAUAAUAUGUUGAAAAUGUUGCCUAAGCCCAACCACCAAUUCAGUAUUCAGAUUUCAAGAAAAAUAUGAAGCAAGAUACGGGAUUAAAUUUCGCGGGCAAGGUUUGGGGGUGAUUUUUUGGAAAAUCUUUCCCAAAACAGAAGAUGCUCAUCGAGGUAUAACCAAUUAUAACGGCAGAUGUAAAAUUGAUUAUUAUCUCAUUACCAAAAAAUAUGACCGACUAAUUAAAGUACUAGCCAGAGGCCUUCUCAUAGACUGUUCGAUAGAUGAAAUUAAACAAGAAUUAAGUAACAUGGGGUUCAAAGUUAGGAAAAUUGCACAAAUGCAUAGACUAAAAGGUUAGAAGUAGUUAGGUGUUGCAACUGCCUCAAAGUAGGACACACCGCCAAUUUUAGGGGUUGUCCUAAAUUUCCAAAACCCAAACAAAACUAACUCCAGACCUAUGUAAAUUGUACUGGAAAACUGAUAAUAUGUAAUAGAUCCCGUAGUACUAAUGAGUUAUCUUAUGCAAAUGUAACAAGUGGAAAUACGAUUAUGUUAGACACCCAGUCAAUACAAGUUGUAUUGAUGUAAACAGUACUAAUACCAGUAGCCUCAACUUAAAGCUCCCUAGGAGAAGUUUACAAGCUUCUAAAGGAAAUAGAUAGGUUGGAUGGAAAUUAAAGCAGUUGGAUGAGAACGAGCUGGUGACAAGAAAAAGAGGAAAAAGCGCAGGAAGGAAUCUUUCGCUAUUUAUAUCUACAAGGUUUUGAAACAGGUUCAUCCCGACAUUGGUAUUUCCAGCAAAGCAAUGUCCAUCACGAAUUCCUUCGUUAACGACAUCUUUGAGAGAAUUGCAGCAGAAUUUUUUCGUUUAGCUCAUUACAAUAAGAGGAGUACUAUCACUAGGCAAGAAACUCAAACUGCAGUACGACUGUUGUUGCCUGAUGAACUGGCAAAACAUGCUGUUGGGGAAGGUACCAAAGCUAUCACCAAGUACACCAGCUCUAAAUAAAUUUUCAAAGCUUUCUUUAUAAAAAAAGGCCCUAAUGAUAAAGAUUAGCUGUUGCCUGCUUAUCCUUAAAUUCUAUGCCACAUAUCACUCAUUUCACAUAGGCAUUCUUAAAGGAAUUCACACUUACUCUUUGCAAAAGAAUUUAAUGAUAUACUUCAACUUUGCAAGUUGACAUCUCAGCUCAUCUUUAUCCUUGUUGCUCUGCAUCCAAUUUCUUUCUUUCAAAAUGUGGAUCUAAUCCUAUAUACGCACAAUAAUGAGAGGUGAAAUAAGUCUAUGCUUUGCCUUUCAUGAUUCCUUGGUAUCAAAAUUCAUUGGCUGACAUCAGCCUUAAUAGCUUUCAAUGCAGUUGUUUUUCCAUAAGUUUGCUAUUUAUCAAAUUCAGCAAAAUGUCUUCAUAUCAGUGUUGUUGCUUUCAGGUGUAUGCAUCACGAAUCGUUUGAACUUCUGGUUCUGUGCACUUAUCGAAUAUAAAACAUUUGAUUUUGUCAGUAGUAACAACAAAUUCGAUGAAAGUCCUUUCCUUUCACAAAGUGAAUUAAUGUUGCAUCUCAUAACCAUCAGAUUUCAGCUGUGUGAGAUGAUAUUCCAUUUGCAUUAAAUGACCUAAUUAAAGUGAAGAUGACUUCUUGUUUCUAAACACAAGGUAUUACCUCACUUUCAUGUAAAUUUUUCAAAUAUGCUUAAAUGGAAGUAGUUCUAAAUAUUGUACUACUAGUUCAAUGAUGAUAACAAGAUUCUAAUUAUCAGGUACAACAAUGAACAUAGCUGUCUUUCGGUAUGUCAGCAACUGCUUAUUUAUUUUUUCUACCUCAUCAGAAAGCGAUACUGACUACUCAAAUGAGAACUGAUACUGCAUUCAUGUUUAAAUCUGAUUAUGUCACUCAAUAUAAAUUGCAAUAAAUUCGGUAUCCAUCAAGGAAUACUCUCUAAAUUAAGAGUGCUAUGUCAGUAAGCAUUUCUAAUCCACAGCAAGAACACUCUUCCAACUUUCCAGCUCAGAACAUGUAUGUAAUAUGAUUAAUAAGUUUGAAAAAAAAACUAUUUAGUUUUUCAUAUGAUAGACCAAGCAUUUGGAAUUACAGAAUAUUUUUCUUUUUAAAAAAUAUAUCAUAAACACUAAACAUUAAACACAAUAAAUACUCAUAGAAUUUCCAAUUUUAUAUUCAACAUAAAAGGGUAAAACGUAAUCAAAGCACAUGCAUGAUGAAAAUUUCAAAUACAUAGUAAAAUAUUCACAUGAAGAUCCACUAUGAUAAGUGGAAGCCUUCACCAAGCAUUUAGAAUUAUGGGAUAUCCUUCUUUUUUCCAAAACAAUUAUUAUAAAAAAUAAACAUUUAUACACCAGAAAGAAAAACUAAGAAGAAAAAUAUGGUUUUUGAAAAAUGCUUUUAUCCUACAAAUUUUCCUAUUACUUAUGGAAUAAACUUACCUUUCAAUAAAAACUACAUUCCUAUUUAUAUAUAUUACAGAUUUAGUUGAACAAUGCUAAGUUCUUGAACAUUCUUUACCCUAAACAUGCACCAUCUUGCUAUACAGGAUGCAAUUUGAUCUGACCACUUUAUAAGUUGAGUGAUCACUUCAGCACAACAGAACUCUUUUGAACAAUGAAUUCUAUUGCAUCUGCCUGCCCCACUCUGAAAUAGAUAUCGAGGGUUAAUUUGCAUUUCAAUAGCUAUUUACAUACAGUGUAAGUGGCAACAGUUGUAUUGCCUCACUGAAUGAUUCCAGUACUUUCCUGCAAUGUGUUUUGAUUCUGUGUGACAUUAUUUAGUGUAGAAAUAAAAUUUAUAAAACUUC